AUCCCCGAGGGGGAAAGAUUUAUCGCUAUUAGAUGAGCCUACGUUAGAUUAGCUAGUUGGUGAGGUAAUGGCUUACCAAGGCUAUGAUCUAUAGCUGGUCUGAGAGGACGAUCAGCCACACUGGAACUGAGAUACGGUCCAGACUCCUACGGGAGGCAGCAGUGGGGAAUAUUGGACAAUGGGCGAAAGCCUGAUCCAGCUAUGCCGCGUGAGUGAAGAAGGCCUUCGGGUUGUAAAACUCUUUCAAUAGGGAAGAUAAUGACGGUACCUAUAGAAAAAGUCCCGGCAAACUCGGGAUCCCGAC
RNAcentral lists this ribosomal RNA (304 nucleotides) under Ehrlichia sp. Ree1m. Its description in RNAcentral is "bacterial SSU rRNA". It matches the Rfam family "Bacterial small subunit ribosomal RNA", at positions 190 to 514 of the family's 1533-position model. Lineage: Bacteria; Pseudomonadati; Pseudomonadota; Alphaproteobacteria; Rickettsiales; Anaplasmataceae. The record is from RNAcentral.